UACGUAGGAGGCGAGCGUUGUCCGGAUUCAUUGGGCGUAAAGAGCUCGUAGGCGGUCUGUCGCGUCGGAUGUGAAAAUCCAGGGCUCAACCCUGGACCUGCAUUCGAUACGGGCAGACUAGAGUUCGGUAGGGGAGACUGGAAUUCCUGGUGUAGCGGUGAAAUGCGCAGAUAUCAGGAGGAACACCGGUGGCGAAGGCGGGUCUCUGGGCCGAAACUGACGCUGAGGAGCGAAAGCGUGGGGAGCAAACAGG
Molecule: ribosomal RNA, 253 nt
Filed under: uncultured bacterium
Lineage: Bacteria
Description: partial 16S ribosomal RNA
Rfam family: Bacterial small subunit ribosomal RNA
Source: RNAcentral